UUUCUAUGGAGUUAAUCAUAGCUAAAGAAUAAAAGCUGAGCGAAUCGAUAAAACAGCUUUUGAUUAUAUACUGGUUCUAUCUAGUUUUCAGAGAUUGUGAGCGCUUUAAAAAGCGUUUUUGAUUUCUGAGAAUCGUUCUUUGAAAACUGAAUAUUAGAUGAAAAAAGACAUUUUAAUUUUUCUUACGUUUCAUAAAUAACGUAAAACAGUAACUUAAAAAUUACUAAGAAAAACUGAAAUUUCAUAUUUAUUAGAUUAUCUAUAAUGCAAAA
Molecule: unclassified non-coding RNA, 272 nt
Filed under: Spiroplasma sp. GSU5490
Lineage: Bacteria; Bacillati; Mycoplasmatota; Mollicutes; Entomoplasmatales; Spiroplasmataceae
Description: partial 16S-23S ribosomal RNA intergenic spacer
Source: RNAcentral